CUUACAUGUAGUGGCACACACCUGUAGUCCCAGCUACUCGGGAGGCUAAGACAGGAGGAUUGCUUGAGUCCAGGAGUUCUGGGCUGUAGUACCUUAUGCUGAUCAGGUGACUGCGUUAAGUUCAGCAUCAGUAUGGUGACCUCCCGGGAGCAGGGUCCACCCCGUUGCUUAAGGAGGGGUGCACCAGUCCUGGUCGGAAAUGGAGCAGGUCAAAACUCCUGUGCUGAUCAAUAGUGGGAUUGCGCCUGUGAAUCGUCAAUGCAGUCCAGCCUGGGCAACACAGAGAGACCCCGUCU
Molecule: unclassified non-coding RNA, 296 nt
Organism: Otolemur garnettii (small-eared galago)
Lineage: Eukaryota; Metazoa; Chordata; Mammalia; Primates; Galagidae
Rfam family: Metazoan signal recognition particle RNA
About the family: The signal recognition particle (SRP) is a universally conserved ribonucleoprotein.
Source: Ensembl